Molecule: ribosomal RNA, 497 nt
Filed under: uncultured bacterium
Lineage: Bacteria
Description: partial 16S ribosomal RNA
Rfam family: Bacterial small subunit ribosomal RNA
Source: RNAcentral
GAUGAACGCUGGCGGCGUGCCUAAUACAUGCAAGUCGAGCGAACAGACGAGGAGCUUGCUCCUUUGACGUUAGCGGCGGACGGGUGAGUAACACGUGGGUAACCUACCUAUAAGACUGGGAUAACUUCGGGAAACCGGAGCUAAUACCGGAUAAUAUUUCGAACCGCAUGGUUCGAUAGUGAAAGAUGGCUUUGGUAUCACUUAUAGAUGGACCUGCGCCGUAUUAGCUAGUUGGUAAGGUAACGGCUUACCAAGGCAACGAUACGUAGCCGACCUGAGAGGGUGAUCGGCCACACUGGAACUGAGACACGGUCCAGACUCCUACGGGAGGCAGCAGUAGGGAAUCUUCCGCAAUGGGCGAAAGCCUGACGGAGCAACGCCGCGUGAGUGAUGAAGGUCUUCGGAUCGUAAAACUCUGUUAUUAGGGAAGAACAAACGUGUAAGUAACUGUGCACGUCUUGACGGUACCUAAUCAGAAAGCCACGGCUAACUACGUG